CGGAGGAUCCAAGCGUUAUCCGGAUUUAUUGGGUUUAAAGGGUGCGUAGGCGGAAUUGUAAGUCAGUGGUGAAAGCCCUUCGCUUAACGAAGGAACUGCCAUUGAUACUGCAAAUCUUGAGUACAUUUGAUGAGGGCGGAAUGUGUCAUGUAGCGGUGAAAUGCUUAGAUAUGACACAGAACACCGAUUGCGAAGGCAGCUCUCAAAACUGUAACUGACGCUGAGGCACGAAAGCGUGGGUAUCAAACAGGAUUAGAUACCCUGGUAGUCCACGCUGUAAACUAUGAUUACUAGGUGUGGGAGGUAUCGACCCCUUCCGUGCCGCCGUUAACACAAUAAGUACCCCGCCUGGGGAGUACGGUCGCAAGAUUA
This 372-nucleotide ribosomal RNA is filed under the name uncultured organism. RNAcentral's name for it is "bacterial SSU rRNA". It matches the Rfam family "Bacterial small subunit ribosomal RNA", at positions 526 to 896 of the family's 1533-position model. The record is from RNAcentral.